AUGCGGCAGCUACACAUGCAGUCGAACGGUAGUCACAGGGAGAGCUUGCUCCCUGGGUGACGAGUGGCGGACGGGUGAGUAAUGUCUGGGGAUCUGCCCGAUGGAGGGGGAUAACUACUGGAAACGGUAGCUAAUACCGCAUAACGUCGCAAGACCAAAGUGGGGGACCUUCGGGCCUCACACCAUCGGAUGAACCCAGAUGGGAUUAGCUAGUAGGUGGGGUAACGGCUCACCUAGGCGACGAUCCCUAGCUGGUCUGAGAGGAUGACCAGCCACACUGGAACUGAGACACGGUCCAGACUCCUACGGGAGGCAGCAGUGGGGAAUAUUGCACAAUGGGCGCAAGCCUGAUGCAGCCAUGCCGCGUGUAUGAAGAAGGCCUUCGGGUUGUAAAGUACUUUCAGCGGGGAGGAAGGGAUGAGGGUUAAUAACCUUCGUCAUUGACGUUACCCGCAGAAGAAGCACCGGCUAACUCCGUGCCAGCAGCCGCGGUAAUACGGAGGGUGCAAGCGUUAAUCGGAAUUACUGGGCGUAAAGCGCACGCAGGCGGUUUGUUAAGUCAGAUGUGAAAUCCCCGGGCUCAACCUGGGAACUGCAUUUGAAACUGGCAAGCUUGAGUCUCGUAGAGGGGGGGUAGAAUUCCAGGUGUAGCGGUGAAAUGCGUAGAGAUCUGGAGGAAUACCGGUGGCGAAGGCGGCCCCCUGGACGAAGACUGACGCUCAGGUGCGAAAGCGUGGGGAGCAAACAGGAUUUAGAUACCCUGGUAGUCCACGCCGUUAAAGAUGUCGACUUGGAGGUUGUGCCCUUGAGGCGUGGCUUCCGGAGCUAACGCGUUAAGUCGACCGCCUGGGGAGUACGGCCGCAAGGUUAAAACUCAAAUGAAUGACGGGGGCCCGCACAAGCGGUGGAGCAUGUGGUUUAAUUCGAUGCAACGCGAAGAACCUUACCUGGCCUUGACAUCCACGGAAUUCGGCAGAGAUGCCUUAGUGCCUUCGGGAACCGUGAGACAGGUGCUGCAUGGCUGUCGUCAGCUCGUGUUGUGAAAUGUUGGGUUAAGUCCCGCAACGAGCGCAACCCUUAUCCUUUGUUGCCAGCGAGUAAUGUCGGGAACUCAAAGGAGACUGCCGGUGAUAAACCGGAGGAAGGUGGGGAUGACGUCAAGUCAUCAUGGCCCUUACGGCCAGGGCUACACACGUGCUACAAUGGCGCAUACAAAGAGAAGCGACCUCGCGAGAGCAAGCGGACCUCAUAAAGUGCGUCGUAGUCCGGAUCGGAGUCUGCAACUCGACUCCGUGAAGUCGGAAUCGCUAGUAAUCGUAGAUCAGAAUGCUACGGUGAAUACGUUCCCGGGCCUUGUACACACCGCCCGUCACACCAUGGGAGUGGGUUGCAAAAGAAGUAGGUAGCUUAACUCUUCGCUCGGGAUCUUAGCACUUGGAUCG
This 1442-nucleotide ribosomal RNA is filed under the name Winslowiella iniecta. Its description in RNAcentral is "bacterial SSU rRNA". It matches the Rfam family "Bacterial small subunit ribosomal RNA". The record is from RNAcentral. Lineage: Bacteria; Pseudomonadati; Pseudomonadota; Gammaproteobacteria; Enterobacterales; Erwiniaceae.